AAAGAAUUAGUUAAACUAUAAUGUUAGAUUGUCAGUCUUUUGUUACUAAUAUAACUUAGUAUUCUUUA
RNAcentral lists this transfer RNA (68 nucleotides) under Provanna glabra. RNAcentral describes it as "tRNA-Asp". RNAcentral also lists the same sequence under 1 other name. The record is from RNAcentral. Lineage: Eukaryota; Metazoa; Mollusca; Gastropoda; Provannidae.